GAUGAACGCUGGCGGCGUGCUUAACACAUGCAAGUCGAACGGAAAGGCUCCUGCUUGCAGGGGUACUCGAGUGGCGAACGGGUGAGUAACACGUGGGUGAUCUGCCCUGCACUUCGGGAUAAGCCUGGGAAACUGGGUCUAAUACCGAAUAGGACCACAUUUUGGAUGGUGUGGUGGAAAGUUUUUCGGUGUGGGAUGAGCUCGCGGCCUAUCAGCUUGUUGGUGGGGUAAUGGCCUACCAAGGCGUCGACGGGUAGCCGGCCUGAGAGGGUGUACGGCCACAUUGGGACUGAGAUACGGCCCAGACUCCUACGGGAGGCAGCAGUGGGGAAUAUUGCACAAUGGGCGCAAGCCUGAUGCAGCGACGCCGCGUGGGGGAUGACGGCCUUCGGGUUGUAAACUCCUUUCGCUAGGGACGAAGCGCAAGUGACGGUACCUGGAGAAGAAGCACCGGCUAACUACGUG
This 465-nucleotide ribosomal RNA is filed under the name uncultured bacterium. Its description in RNAcentral is "partial 16S ribosomal RNA". It matches the Rfam family "Bacterial small subunit ribosomal RNA", at positions 28 to 507 of the family's 1533-position model. The record is from RNAcentral.